CAGCAGUAAAAGCUGCAGCCGGAGCGUGGUGGCAUCCUGCUGCAGCCCGCUGGCAUGCACAGGACAAACCGCUGCAGCCUGCUGGCAUGCACAGGAUAAACCGCUGCAGCCCGCUGGCAUGCAGAGGACAAACCGCUGCAGCCUGCUGGCAUGCACAGGACAAACCGCUGCAGCCCGCUGGCAUGCAGAGGACAAACCGCUGCAGCCCGCUGGCAUGCAGAGGACAAACCGCUGCAGCCCGCUGGCAUGCACAGGAUAAACCGCUGCAGCCCGCUGGCAUGCACAGGAUAAACCGCUGCAGCCCGCUGGCAUGCAGAGGACAAACCGCUGCAGCCCGCUGGCAUGCACAGGAUAAACCGCUGCAGCCCGCUGGCAUGCACAGGACAAACCGUUGCAGCCCGCUGGCAUGCACAGGACAAACCGCUGCAGCAAACUGGCAUGCAGAGGACAAACUGCUGCAGCCCGCUGGCAUGCAGAGGACAAACCGCUGCAACCCACUGGCAUGCAGAGGACAAACUGCCGCAGCCCGCUGGCAUGCAGAGGACAAACUGCCGCAGCCCGCUGGCAUGCAGAGGACAAACCGCUGCAGCAAACUGGCAUGCACAGGACAAACCGCUGCAGCCCGCUGGCAUGCAGAGGACAAACCGCUGCAGCCCGCUGGCAUGCAGAGGACAAACCGCUGCAGCAAACUGGCAUGCAGAGGACAAACCGCUGCAACCCACUGGCAUGCACAGGACAAACCGCUGCAGCCCGCUGGCAUGCAGAGGUCAAACCGCUGCAGCUUGGUCCUGCCGCUCGCCUCAUCAUUCAGGUGUGAAAGUCAGCCGCCGCUCCAGCUGCUGCUCCUCUGCACGGGGAAUUUAUUCAGCAGCCAGACGAUGCAGAGUUUCACAUCAGGAUCACGGAGCCUCUGGCAACGUGUGAGAUGUUAGUGCUGCUGCAAAUUAACCCUCACAGCAGCUUCCUCUCUGCUCCCGUCACAUUUUUACUCACCAUCGGCUCAUUUUUCUCUGCAAUAUAAAACCUGCACCUCCAUGGAAACAGAACAACCAGGACUAGAAGCAGAGAAGACUCAGGAACAUCUUCAGUAAUGUAUUAGACGGAUAUAACCACAUAAAUCAGAGCAGAAGCUGAAUUUGUUUGAACAUUUAAUAACAUUUAAAAAAAAAUAGAAUCAACAUGAACAGAAUUUUUCCAAGUUGUAAAAACUGUUACCAGCUCUGGAGGAAAAAAAGGUCCUUAACCCUCGUGUCAUCCUGCGGGUCAAAUUAACCCAUUUUAAAGUUUGAAAACGUGGGGGAAAAAAUAUAUAUAUUCACAGUGAAACUUCUGAUGUCCACAUUUUCAACAUUUUUGGGAAAUCUCUGAACAUUUUUUGGUGG
This is a long non-coding RNA of Amphiprion ocellaris (clown anemonefish), 1382 nucleotides long. The record is from Ensembl. NCBI's taxonomy places the organism in Eukaryota, Metazoa, Chordata, Actinopteri, Pomacentridae.